AGUGAACGCUGGCGGUAGGCCUAACACAUGCAAGUCGAACGGCAGCACAGGAGAGCUUGCUCUCUGGGUGGCGAGUGGCGGACGGGUGAGGAAUGCAUCGGAAUCUACCUUUUUCGUGGGGGAUAACGUAGGGAAACUUACGCUAAUACCGCAUACGACCUACGGGUGAAAGUGGGGACCGGCAAGGCCUCACGCGAUUAGAUGAGCCGAUGUCCGAUUAGCUAGUUGGCGGGGUAAUGGCCCACCAAGGCGACGAUCGGUAGCUGGUCUGAGAGGAUGAUCAGCCACACUGGAACUAAGACACGGUCCAGACUCCUACGGGAGGCAGCAGUGGGGAAUAUUGGACAAUGGGCGCAAGCCUGAUCCAGCCAUACCGCGUGGGGUGAAAGAAGGCCUUCGGGUUGUAAAGCCCUUUUGUUGGGAAAGAAUCCUAUCGGUUAAUAACCGGUGGGAUGACGGUACCAAAGAAUAAGCACCGGCUAACUUCGUGCCAGCAGCCGCGGUAAUACGAAGGGUGCAAGCGUUACUCGGAAUUACUGGGCGUAAAGCGUGCGUAGGUGGUGGUUUAAGUCUGCUGUGAAAGCCCUGGGCUCAACCUGGGGAAUUGCAGUGGAUACUGGAUCACUAGAGUGUGGUAGAGGGAUGCGGAAUUUCUGGUGUAGCAGUGAAAUGCGUAGAGAUCAGAAGGAACAUCCGUGGCGAAGGCGGCAUCCU
RNAcentral lists this ribosomal RNA (714 nucleotides) under uncultured bacterium. Its description in RNAcentral is "bacterial SSU rRNA". It matches the Rfam family "Bacterial small subunit ribosomal RNA", at positions 28 to 730 of the family's 1533-position model. The record is from RNAcentral.